Molecule: non-coding RNA, 1049 nt
Organism: Peromyscus maniculatus bairdii (prairie deer mouse)
Lineage: Eukaryota; Metazoa; Chordata; Mammalia; Rodentia; Cricetidae
Source: RefSeq, a predicted model, not a curated record
AUGGUCAAUAGGAAAGCAUCCCUCCCCACGGUUUUGAAUUAAGUAACUGCAAUUGCUUCUCUAGCAGCCAACACCUGAGCAUCUGGAGGUGUGAUAGGGAACCAUGUAAUGAGCUUCUUCUUUCCUAAGAUCAACAACAGCCUCAAGUUUAGCACUAGAGACAACACAAGGGAAACACCCAUUACCACAAAAUUAGAAUCAACCAAACAGAAUAAAAUUGGUUGUGAUUGCCGCUGUAGAUAAAACUGUGAUUGACUGAAUCAAUCUGUGCUUUGAAAGAGUGUCCAGUGAAGUGCUGUAACAGCCAUGCAGAAACCAAACCUUGAGUGGUGCUGAAGAACAUGCAUCCUAUGGAUUCGCUGACUUCAAGAAGCAGGUCCUACUGCUAGGGACUGAAGAGGAACUUACUACCUGCCUCUGCUUCCAAGCCCUACAAGCUAACCCUGCAACUCAGGGUCUUCCUUUCCUUUUCUGAAAACACCAGUCAAUUAGAGUGUAAUGGACACAGCCCUGGACCAGACCUUUCUUCAGUUGCUUCACAUAGCAGAGAGAAUAGUUCUUCAGAACCAAAAUUUUGCCCGGUCACCUAAUUUCUACCACAUAAAGGGAUGCCACGAGAAUCAGUUGAUCAAAGUCUUAACAUGCUAAGAGAGAAGCUUCUGGAGCAUCAACAAAAAGGUGCCAGGCAGUGUCUAUAAGCAUCCCCACACAACAGAGAUGACUGGGUGGCCUUAUCCAUAUCUUCUGGCAGUACUAUCAUGGCUUUCUUUUUAUUUUCUCCAUUGAAUUCCUUCUACAUGGACCAUACUCUACUGUCCAUAAUUUCAGCAUAACAGUUUUCAGUUGUCCCACUCAUGGACGCCCUUCACACUCAAAAACUAUUGCAAAUGCCAGAGAAGUUAUAACUGUCAAUAGUUACUGUAAUAGAUAUUAAAGCCAGGGAAAGUUUAAAUGUUUAAUUCACCUAAAAUAAAAGUCUACUGCAUGUUAACAUAAAUCACACAUCUUUAUGGAACUUUAUUUUCCAUAACAAAACAGUGAGAUUCACA